This 1998-nucleotide long non-coding RNA is filed under the name Citrus maxima (pomelo). Its description in RNAcentral is "long non-coding RNA (CMAX_LNC000135)". Lineage: Eukaryota; Viridiplantae; Streptophyta; Magnoliopsida; Sapindales; Rutaceae. The record is from RNAcentral.
GGGGAUCAAGGUCCAGAAUACGUUCCAAUUGCGCCAGGAGAUUCAAAGCUUCUGCUUCACUAUAUGAGUUUUCACUCGUACUCAUGUUUCAGAAAAUAGUAUGCUCUGGCUGCCAAGAGAAAGGAAGAGAGAUUUUAGCCAAUGAUAACAACAACAACAACAAAAGAAGAAGUAGAAGUAGUGGCAGUACUACUACUACUAAUAAUAAUAAUAUAAUGACAACUUACAUGCAAUUGAAGAAAUAUAACUGCCUGGGUAAUAUGAUACAUGUAACCUCAGGCAGGGAUGACAAAACCCGGGUCUAGUUCCAGUCUCCCUGCAACCAGGUGAAUAUUUGCUUUUCUGCACACUAAAAAAGGAGGAUGAUGGUUAAACCCAAAUGAGGACCAGGAAACCCAGGUUUUAAACUUGGAAAAGAAGUUAAGCUCUGAUUUUUCUCCAAUUUUCCAUGUAAAUAAACUAAUAUGCUUGCUCCACAAUUCUCAAUUCACAAAUGAAUUUCCAAUACCGAAGCAACAAAGCAACUUAAAACAGCCUCAAAAUUGCCAACUUUCAUUUUCAAUAGCAUUAUACAGAGGAAUUGAAAAACAAAAAUUCGAAAAUAUAAAAUUUGAAACUCACAAUCAGACAGAAAGCCAAGCGUCUUUCGGUCGUGGGUUGCUUCAGCUCGAGCUGCAAUGGGAAGUAGAUUCGGUGUCUUGCAGUGGGUUCGAUGGGAAGGGGAAAAGCCGCCGAGCUUCGCGUGGUCUCCCGCGGUGGUACAGCGGUAGCGCCGGCGAAAUGGUUUGGAUUUUAUUUUUAUGGUCUGGGGAAUAAGGUCCGGCUCUGUAAAGACUGAAAAGUGUUUAGUAGUUAGAUUCUUUUAGUGGGAUGGGCAGUUUACGGUUCGUUCGGUCUGAACCGAAACCGAUGGGUUCCAAAUAACUUGAACCAAAGCCGAACCGAACCAAACUGAAAUAUUUCGGUUCAGUUCAUUCAUUUCUAAAAUUCGGUUUCGUUUUGGUUCGAUUCUGCAUUCUUGGUUUGGAAUUUAGCACCACACCUCUUGUUAAAAGUACAUAUCAACCAAGUUGAAUCAACUAGCAAUACCCAACUCAGGAUACAUUAAAACAGAAAUCAAUUAUUGGUUACAAAUUCUUUUUUCAUAAGUACAGCCGGCCAAAGAAUUGCAGAUUUGAUAAUUCCAAAAGUAUUGCAGAAACUAAACAUGCAGAGAAGCCACGAAAGAGCAACUCAAUGCCCUUGAUUUUUUUUUUAACAUUGACCACUUAAACUUCAGGGGAAAAAAAUACCUUAAAAAAAGUUAUCUAUUUCUGUCCUAACAAAAUCUUAUUGGCUGUUCGGGUGAUUUUUUUUUUUUUUUUUACAAAUACCUGCAAUUUUGGAUACGUUGAUGUUACCCAAUGAUCUUGUUUAAUUAGUUGUUGGAAUUAAUCUUCAAACUUAAGAAUCAAUUUUUCCAAUAAAAAAAAGAAAGAAAUCUUCGAAAGCCACCAACUACAAUACAAUAAAAUGGUGUUUGAAAAUCUCCAAUGCUCAAUGAAUCAUAAAUUUAAACUUUAUUAUAUAUUUUACAACAUGAACAAAAUUUUUGAAAGCCACCAACUUAAAUUUGGAAAACUUCAAAACUUUCUACAGAGGGUGAAGACGAAAAAGCGUUAUAUUAUGUUAUAUCCAUUCUCAAAGCACGAUCAAAUAAACUGAAAAAAGAACGAAGUCAACAUGACAACAACUCACUGUUUCCGACUCUUCGACGCGAUGGCAACGGCUGAACGAGGCUGCAACAGCAACAGCUGGCGCCUGGCGACGAGGCAGCUGAAUCACAAUCACGAUCUGCCGUCUGUCGUCUGCCGCGAGCUAAUAAAAAAUAUCGAAUCACGAUUGCCUGCGGAGGAUGGUGCGUGAUGACAGUGAGAUUAAGAGAGUGAGACGCUGAGACGAGAGGGUGAGACAAUGAGAGACCGUGAGAGUGAGAUGGUGACCGGAGACGGAGAGAGC